This 465-nucleotide ribosomal RNA is filed under the name Vreelandella stevensii. Its description in RNAcentral is "partial 16S ribosomal RNA". It matches the Rfam family "Bacterial small subunit ribosomal RNA", at positions 338 to 795 of the family's 1533-position model. Lineage: Bacteria; Pseudomonadati; Pseudomonadota; Gammaproteobacteria; Oceanospirillales; Halomonadaceae. The record is from RNAcentral.
CCUACGGGCGGCAGCAGUGGGGAAUAUUGGACAAUGGGGGGAACCCUGAUCCAGCCAUGCCGCGUGUGUGAAGAAGGCCCUCGGGGUGUAAAGCACUUUCAGUGAGGAAGAACGCCUGGUGGUUAAUACCCAUCAGGAAAGACAUCACUCACAGAAGAAGCACCGGCUAACUCCGUGCCAGCAGCCGCGGUAAUACGGAGGGUGCGAGCGUUAAUCGGAAUUACUGGGCGUAAAGCGCGCGUAGGUGGCUUGAUAAGCCGGUUGUGAAAGCCCCGGGCUCAACCUGGGAACGGCAUCCGGAACUGUCAAGCUAGAGUGCAGGAGAGGAAGGUAGAAUUCCCGGUGUAGCGGUGAAAUGCGUAGAGAUCGGGAGGAAUACCAGUGGCGAAGGCGGCCUUCUGGACUGACACUGACACUGAGGUGCGAAAGCGUGGGUAGCAAACAGGAUUAGAUACCCUAGUAGUC